GAUGAACGCUGGCGGCGUGCUUAACACAUGCAAGUCGAACGAGAAAUGGAGACGGAAACCUUCGGGCGGAAGGCUUCAUUUCGAGUGGCGGACGGGUGAGUAACGCGUGGGUAACCUGCCUCAUACAGGGGGAUAACAGUUGGAAACGACUGUUAAUACCGCAUAAGACCACAGCACCGCAUGGUGCGGGGGUAAAAACUCCGGUGGUAUGAGAUGGACCCGCGUUCGAUUAGCCAGUUGGCGGGGUAACGGCCCACCAAAGCGACGAUCGAUAGCCGAUCAGAGAGGAUGACCGGCCACAUUGGGACUGGGACACGGCCCAAACUCCUACGGGAGGCAGCAGUGGGGAAUAUUGCACAAUGGGGGAAACCCUGAUGCAGCGACGCCGCGUGAGUGAAGAAGUACUUCGGGAUGUAAAGCUCUAUCAGCAGGGAAGAAAAUGACGGUACCUGAGGAAGAAGCCCCGGCUAACUACGUG
This 478-nucleotide ribosomal RNA is filed under the name uncultured bacterium. Its description in RNAcentral is "partial 16S ribosomal RNA". It matches the Rfam family "Bacterial small subunit ribosomal RNA", at positions 28 to 507 of the family's 1533-position model. The record is from RNAcentral.